RNAcentral lists this ribosomal RNA (489 nucleotides) under uncultured bacterium. RNAcentral's name for it is "bacterial SSU rRNA". It matches the Rfam family "Bacterial small subunit ribosomal RNA", at positions 30 to 512 of the family's 1533-position model. The record is from RNAcentral.
AUUGAACGCUGGCGGCAUGCCUUACACAUGCAAGUCGAACGGCAGCACGGGAGCAAUCCUGGUGGCGAGUGGCGAACGGGUGAGUAAUAUAUCGGAACGUGCCCCGUCGUGGGGGAUAACGCAGCGAAAGCUGUGCUAAUAACGCAUACGAUUUACGGAUGAAAGCGGGGGAUCGCAAGACCUCGCGCGAUUGGAGCGGCCGAUAUCAGAUUAGCUAGUUGGUGAGGUAAAGGCUCCCCAAGGCGACGAUCUGUAGCUGGUUUGAGAGGACGACCAGCCCCCCCGGAAAUGAGACCCGGUCCCGACUCCUACGGGAGGCAGCAGUGGGGAAUUUUGGACAAUGGGCGCAAGCCUGAUCCAGCAAUGCCGCGUGCAGGAAGAAGGCCUUCGGGUUGUAAACUGCUUUUGUACGGAGCGAAACGGUCUUUCCUAAUACGAGAGGCUAAUGCCGGAAAGGGUAGAAUUACCCCCGGCUUCCUUCGUUCCAGC